Molecule: ribosomal RNA, 631 nt
Filed under: Salmonella enterica
Lineage: Bacteria; Pseudomonadati; Pseudomonadota; Gammaproteobacteria; Enterobacterales; Enterobacteriaceae
Also listed under: 1 other name
Description: partial 23S ribosomal RNA
Rfam family: Bacterial large subunit ribosomal RNA
Source: RNAcentral
GGGUUGUGAGGUUAAGCGACUAAGCGUACACGGUGGAUGCCCUGGCAGUCAGAGGCGAUGAAGGGCGUGCUAAUCUGCGAUAAGCGCCGGUAAGGUGAUAUGAACCGUUAUAACCGGCGAUACCCGAAUGGGGAAACCCAGUGUGAUUCGUCACACUAUCAUUAACUGAAUCCAUAGGUUAAUGAGGCGAACCGGGGGAACUGAAACAUCUAAGUACCCCGAGGAAAAGAAAUCAACCGAGAUUCCCCCAGUAGCGGCGAGCGAACGGGGAGGAGCCCAGAGCCUGAAUCAGCAUGUGUGUUAGUGGAAGCGUCUGGAAAGGCGCGCGAUACAGGGUGACAGCCCCGUACACAAAAGCGCAUAUGCUGUGAGCUCGAUGAGUAGGGCGGGACACGUGGUAUCCUGUCUGAAUAUGGGGGGACCAUCCUCCAAGGCUAAAUACUCCUGACUGACCGAUAGUGAACCAGUACCGUGAGGGAAAGGCGAAAAGAACCCCGGCGAGGGGAGUGAAAAAGAACCUGAAACCGUGUACGUACAAGCAGUGGGAGCCCCACCACUAAGCCAGUGGUGAACUCCACAUACGCAUCCUUUGCUGAGGAUACGGUUAACGGAGCGAAAGCGACGUUCAACC